Molecule: long non-coding RNA, 857 nt
Organism: Alexandromys fortis (reed vole)
Lineage: Eukaryota; Metazoa; Chordata; Mammalia; Rodentia; Cricetidae
Exons: 3
Source: RefSeq, a predicted model, not a curated record
UGAGGCAGCUGGUCACAUUGCAGAUGCAGACAGGGAGCGAUGAACGCUGCUACUCACUUCACCUCUUCCGUUUUCCAUUUGUAUUCAGUCUGGGACUCCAGCCCACAGAUUGGCGCCACUCACGUUAAGGCUUGGUUUUUCCUCCUCAGGGCAUUCACUGAUAAGGAAAGCCAUUGUGAGCCAAGACCCAUCUGUGCAUCCCUGAGAGGGAAUCAAGAAGUUUGUCACUGCUUUCCCCUGCUGCCUUCUGGAGUGAUGCCCCAAUCUCACCUGCCAGCACCAUGUGCCACCCCAAGAAGACACCAAGCGAUCACAUGCGUCCUUUUUCCUUACUUUCAAGGAUUUCUCUGUAGCCUUGGAGCCUGUCCUGGAUCUAGCUCUUUUAGAUCAAGGUGGCCUUGAACUUGCAGAGAUCGGCCUGCCUCUGCCUCCCGAGUGCUGGGAUUAAAGGCAUGCAUCACCACUGCCCAGCUCAAAAAAGUGUUAUUUCAAUAGGCAAUAAGUUGAAACAAGCCCAAUGCCCAUGCAUGGAGGACCAUGGAGGAAAAAUACACGGUAGAUAUGUACAAUGCAAUGUUACGCGGCCAUGAGUGGAAGGGAGAAUUAGACUUACUGCACACAACGCCUUAACUUGGAAAAGAAAAGCCGCACAGUGAGAAUUCUUCAGCACAACUGCACCUUUCAUCGCCUGCUGGAUGUGGUCCAGGGACCUAAGCUGCCAAGUUCAGACACCUUCUUGACUCACACCAAAGAUUAAUGAUGUGGACUCUCGUGGGAGUUGUGCAAAGCAGAACCAGGCUUUCUUAAUGAUUUCAGAACGUGAGAAAUUGAGAGAAAGAGAGAGGGAAAAUUCUCGA